This 450-nucleotide ribosomal RNA is filed under the name uncultured bacterium. Its description in RNAcentral is "bacterial SSU rRNA". It matches the Rfam family "Bacterial small subunit ribosomal RNA", at positions 354 to 796 of the family's 1533-position model. The record is from RNAcentral.
GUGGGGAAUAUUGCACAAUGGGCGCAAGCCUGAUGCAGCCAUGCCGCGUGUAUGAAGAAGGCCUUCGGGUUGUAAAGUACUUUCAGCGGGGAGGAAGGUGUUGAGGUUAAUAACCUCAGCAAUUGACGUUACCCGCAGAAGAAGCACCGGCUAACUCCGUGCCAGCAGCCGCGGUAAUACGGAGGGUGCAAGCGUUAAUCGGAAUUACUGGGCGUAAAGCGCACGCAGGCGGUCUGUCAAGUCGGAUGUGAAAUCCCCGGGCUCAACCUGGGAACUGCAUUCGAAACUGGCAGGCUAGAGUCUUGUAGAGGGGGGUAGAAUUCCAGGUGUAGCGGUGAAAUGCGUAGAGAUCUGGAGGAAUACCGGUGGCGAAGGCGGCCCCCUGGACAAAGACUGACGCUCAGGUGCGAAAGCGUGGGGAGCAAACAGGAUUAGAUACCCGUGUAGUCC